Long non-coding RNA from Pieris rapae (cabbage white), 1905 nucleotides. RefSeq lists it as uncharacterized. NCBI's taxonomy places the organism in Eukaryota, Metazoa, Arthropoda, Insecta, Lepidoptera, Pieridae. The record is from RefSeq and is a predicted model, not a curated record. The transcript is spliced from 2 exons.
AGUGCUCUUGUGGACUUGUUACGUGGAAUCCACGAUGAAAUAUAAAUAUUUUUCAAACUCUCAAUGGAUCGUCGCCCUCGUGAUGUGGCCGAUCAAGCAAAACAUUAUCUCAAACAUAGAAAAAUAUUCGGCGACUUGGAUUACUUUUUAUGACCUUCUCGACGAGGAAAACGUAAAAAACGAAUCGAACACGAAGAUAACUCACUCGGUCAACGACAAACUGUUGUUGUUCUUGUCGAGCAACCGAUCGGCGACCACGCCGCUGAGGCUGACGAGCUUCGUCUCCUUGAUUAAGCAGUAUUUAAACGAGAGAGGUUCGUCGGUCUGUUCUAUUCAAACGUACAUACCUUUUAGAAAUUUAAAUUGAUCUUUAGAUUGACAUUUUCAGGAGCGAGCAUUCGGAAACCGGAGCAUUUGACCCUGGAAAUUCUGUCGAAGCAGAUGAACGACGAACUCAUCAGUCCCACGAUCUAUUGGCUACUGCUCGACUGCUUGAUGUCGCUCAUCGACGCGUUCGUGCUUCACAAAGACGUCGUCGAAAUCAAAAAGUUGCUGCUCGUCGCGAACACUACUUUGAAGGUGACGCCGAAGAUUCUUGCGACCCUCAAGGCUGAAGUGAGUUUUUUUUUAUAGAACAGCUUCCGAGUGCGUUGCUAGCCUUUUAAGAAUUGGUACGACUGCAUUUUGUGUCCUGCGCUCGUUCUCAAUUCGUAAAACACUUUCAAUCGUUUCAUUAUUUCGUUGUCAUUUCACGAUACCGAUUCGCUUCGUCGUGUGGAAUGUCUCUUGAAAAGUAUUCAUAAUCUAAUAAACAUAAACGAAUACUCGAAAUUGAACGUCAUCAUCGAGGAAGGAAUGAAACGGGUCGCGACCCAUUUGGCAGGUCGGACGUCGGUGCUGUCGAGUCCCGUGAAACUUAUAUUUUCUUCCUUGAUUUCACACGAAGACAGAGUGAUCAAGAGUGUUGGCGACUCAUAAAUAGAAGGGUCAAUCAACUUUUAAGUGUACAUCAAUGAUAAAUUUUAUUUUUUUAAUUUUAUUUGAUUUUUUUUUAUAUUUUAACAUUUUUUCUUUAGAUAAUUAUUUAUAUUUUAAGAAUUCACAUAGAGCAGAACGAUUUAUUUAAAUAAAAUAGUAAAUUUGACUCCGAAAUCCACAUUUUUCCGUCAAACCCAUUAUCUAAAAAUAAUAACAAAAAUAAUUUAGAAUAUAGAACUAUUAGAUAUAGCAAAAAUGUAUUAAGUAAGUAAGCUAACUGCCUCCGUGGUGCUUUGAUGAUUGAUUAGUUUGAUUGGUGGUGAUGAUUUGAGCGUUCGCCUUAGGGUCCGGAGUUCCCUGGUUCGAUUCUCGGGAAAAGAACCCGUAAAGUUAAUAUUUGUCAAUUUAUCACUUUCAUUCACAAGAUUGUGCCCAGUUUGGUUAGGACAUAGCAAGCUAAACCACCUGAUUGUUCAUCACAAAGAUGGUUCCGUGCUUCGGAGGCCAUGUUAAGCGGUUGGUCCCGGUUGCUAUGACCGGUUGCUAUAAUUAAUUAAAUGGCAGUCGUUACACAAUCAUGUCAGAGGCCUACUGCUAGUAGUAGGACUAAUUAUUGAAAGGAAAAGUAUUGCUCUAUGCUGAUUCUAUAAUUAAUUGUCCUAUGGGCAACACGGACAACGGUUUUGGUUGUCCAAGUGACUGGUUGUCCGAGUGACAUUUAUCAGUCUUUGCGCUUUCUGAUAAUAAAUAAUGAUAUUUUGAAUUAGGUCUUACGCACAGUGAAAAAUAUAGAUAAAAUAGAAUAUAUUUCACUUUUAUUUACUAUGAUAUAUCAAAUACUGACGUUUUUGUGCUGGUUGUCCGGUAGACACACAAAAAAGCCACGCACUUUUUCAAAACGCGCGCGACCGACUGACACCGCGGCAA